AAUCAAGUAGAAGCCUAACAGAAGAACA
Molecule: non-coding RNA, 28 nt
Filed under: Cricetulus griseus (Chinese hamster)
Lineage: Eukaryota; Metazoa; Chordata; Mammalia; Rodentia; Cricetidae
Source: RNAcentral